AGCCUGCUUAAACCACUUCUCCAUACCACUCUUACAUUGCUGGGAAGCUCUCACUUCUCUUUCAAAAUACUUCUUUGCCGUCGCGAUGCUCCGCCGCGCCAUUCCUUUCUGCGCUUCAAGGAACGCGCGUUUCGGCCUUAGGCACAAAUCCAGUGGCGGAAGAAGGCCGAAGAAGAAAACUUACCACAGAGUGGCCGAACUAGACAGAGUGAUGGAACUGCGAAAGAAGCCAUUGAUGAUUCUCCAACUCACCUCCCUCGUCCAAUCUCAGCCUCACCGUUCCCCCCUCUUCCUCCGCGAUCUCGAGAAGAACGUCGGCUUCGUUCGAAAAUGGGCCUUCAUGGCCCUCAUCGAGAAACACCCCUCCGUCUUCCGCGUCGCAGGGACGCCCCCUUCCGUCUCCCUCACGGCCCGGGCCCGAACCCUAGCGCAGGAAGAGGCCCACGUCCGAGCCUCCAUGGAACCCCUCUUGGUCACCAACCUACGGAAGCUGCUCAUGCUCUGUGUCGAUUGCAAGCUGCCGCUUCAAACGGUGGAGCUAGUUGGGCCUCAGUUGGGCCUUCCCUCCGAUUUUAAGGACUGUUUGAUUCCGAAGUACCCCCAGUUUUUCAGGGUUAGGCGCUCCCGUGGAAGGGAUUGUCUUCUGUUGGAGGAUUGGGAUUCCACCUUGGCUGUCACUUCUAGAGAGACUAGGUUGGCACAGGAAGGAGUUGUGAACAUGAAGGCAAAUGGAGAUAGGAGGAAGGUGAAGAUUUCAAGAGAUGGGAACUACCUUGGUCCAUUUGCAUUCAAAAUGAAUUUUCCUGCUGGAUUUAGGCCAAAUGUUGGUUACCUUGAGCAGCUUGAGAGGUGGCAGAAGUUGGAGUUCCCUUCUCCUUAUUUGAAUGCAAGGAGAUUUGAUUCUGCUGAUCCAAAAGCUCGAAAACGAUCUGUGGCAGUGAUUCAUGAGCUCCUGAGCUUGACCAUGGAGAAGAGGAUGACAUCUGCACAGCUUGAGGCAUUUCAUGCAGAGUGUCUUUUGCCAUCUCAAUUACUGCUUUGCUUGAUAAAGCAUCAGGGGAUAUUUUACCUCACUAAUAAAGGUGAACGGAGUACCGUGUUCCUCAAAGAUGCAUACAUUGGUUCCAACUUGAUAGAUAAGUGUCCUUUGUUGCAAUUUUAUGAUAAAUUUAUGGCACUCUGUGGAAGAGGAAAUAUUGAUCUGAGUGAGAACAUGAAUUCCUUACCAACUGUUAUUUAGAAGUUGAAUUCGAUUGAUUCUUUAGUGAUAAGGUGAUUCUGCAUCUGUUCCUAGUUGGUAAAGGGUAAGGAAAUAUAACUGGAAAAGUAAGCAGCAUAAAGGAUAUCAUUCCUUACUUUAAAGGAAAACCACGUAAUUACAAUCUCCUGAUAGCAUUAGGAAUAUUAGCUACGGCUAGAAAGGCUGUGAUCAAAAGUGAAAGUUGACUUUGUCAAAUUAGAAUAUUUUCAUUGUCCCUUGUGGUCAGAGGUUGAAGUUGUUCAGAAAAGUCUUAUCGUUUAAAAUUCUGAUGCUCAUAGUUCGGCAAAUAUGUAUGCCCACAGACAAUUUGAUCAUUGCUCUUAAGGCCUUUUAAGCGUGGUGAUAAAGAUGAUAUUUAGGAGUUCAUCAAAAGAAGAGGCUAUGCAUGAAAGUAUUUACAACAUCAUUAUGCAUCUGAUGCUUUAGUGUAAAUAUGCUGCCUUAAUCUGAAGAUUUUGGCACUCCUUUGAUGCAUUUGUGGCUGAGCAGUUAAAGAGCUAUAAUCGCUUGAAGACACCAGAGAUUGUUCUAAAUACUGUCUCACAUGUGUAUCAUACUCGGGCGUUAGUUCUGCUGUGAGAGUUGUUAGUUGUUCUCGAGAUGAAGAAGACAGUGAUUGAACUCGGGGAUAUUUCACAAUAAUCAAGACAAUUUUUUUAUAAUUAAUUAGGAGGUGGUGUAUAAUGUAAUGUCUUGUAGUAUAUUUGGUCUUCCACCUUUUUAUGUUCUGUUGUUCCAAAAUAUCCAUGUGAUAAUGGCCAGUACUUGUUGCUAGUUACAGAAGUAUUAAUUACUUGUUGCUAGUUGCAGAAGUAUUAAUUUAGUUUCUUUCUUGAUAGUUGAAAGGCACUUGUGUUGAUAGUAUUGGUUAUAACGUAAAUUUUGAGAUGAAA
RNA transcript from Vigna radiata var. radiata (mung bean), 2154 nucleotides. It is a transcript of the gene named protein ROOT PRIMORDIUM DEFECTIVE 1-like, with no coding region annotated. NCBI's taxonomy places the organism in Eukaryota, Viridiplantae, Streptophyta, Magnoliopsida, Fabales, Fabaceae. The record is from RefSeq and is a predicted model, not a curated record. The transcript has 3 exons.